Molecule: ribosomal RNA, 252 nt
Filed under: uncultured bacterium
Lineage: Bacteria
Description: partial 16S ribosomal RNA
Rfam family: Bacterial small subunit ribosomal RNA
Source: RNAcentral
GACGAACCGUGCAAACGUUAUUCGGAAUCACUGGGCUUAAAGGGCGCGUAGGCGGCUUGUCAAGUCAGGGGUGAAAUCUUUCGGCUUAACCGGAAAAGUGCCUCUGAUACUGGCAGGCUCGAGGGAGGCAGGGGCAUGUGGAACUUCCGGUGGAGCGGUGAAAUGCGUUGAUAUCGGAAGGAACGCCGGUGGCGAAAGCGACGUGCUGGACCUCUUCUGACGCUGAGGCGCGAAAGCUAGGGGAGCGAACGG